This 253-nucleotide ribosomal RNA is filed under the name uncultured bacterium. RNAcentral describes it as "partial 16S ribosomal RNA". It matches the Rfam family "Bacterial small subunit ribosomal RNA", at positions 524 to 776 of the family's 1533-position model. The record is from RNAcentral.
UACGUAGGGUGCAAGCGUUAAUCGGAAUUACUGGGCGUAAAGCGUGCGCAGGCGGUUUGCUAAGACAGGUGUGAAAUCCCCGGGCUUAACCUGGGAACUGCGCUUGUAACUGGCAAGCUAGAGUGUGGCAGAGGGGGGUAGAAUUCCACGUGUAGCAGUGAAAUGCGUAGAGAUGUGGAGGAACACCGAUGGCGAAGGCAGCCCCCUGGGUCAAGAUUGACGCUCAUGCACGAAAGCGUGGGGAGCAAACAGG